GGCCGGUAUAGCCGAGUUCAUAGCCACUUUUCUUUUCUUGUACAUCUCCGUAUUGACAGUGAUGGGCGUCGUCAAGUCCAACACCAAGUGCUCAACCGUCGGCAUUCAAGGGAUUGCAUGGGCCUUCGGUGGCAUGAUCUUCGCGCUCGUUUACUGCACAGCUGGCAUCUCGGGUUUGUACCAGCUGCGCUUCUGGUUAAUUAAUUUUAUGAGCAAAAUAACUAAAGGGUUCGACAAAAUAAUUUUUGAUUUUUUAAACUUUUUGUUGUGACGCAGGUGGUCAUAUCAACCCGGCGGUGACAUUCGGGCUGUUCUUGGCGAGGAAGCUGUCGUUGACACGUGCACUUUUCUACAUGGUGAUGCAGUGUCUGGGAGCCAUCUGUGGUGCUGGCGUUGUAAAGGGUUUCAUGGGUGCCGGCCAAUACGGUCGGCUCGGCGGCGGUGCCAAUGCUGUAGCUCAUGGCUACACCAAGGGUGAUGGUCUUGGUGCCGAGAUUAUUGGUACUUUUGUUCUUGUCUACACAGUUUUCUCUGCCACUGACGCCAAACGUAGCGCCAGAGACUCUCAUGUUCCUGUAAGUUGAUUCUUUUUCUGGUUAAUGUAUGAUUAAUUAACCAAUAAUAAUCAUAAUUAUUACCUUUACUAAUAACUACCUUAUUGAAUAUGGUUAGAUUUUGGCUCCUUUGCCAAUUGGGUUCGCUGUGUUCUUGGUUCACUUGGCUACUAUCCCUAUUACCGGAACUGGCAUCAACCCCGCAAGGAGUCUUGGAGCUGCAAUCAUCUACAACAAGGACCACGGUUGGGAUGACCAUGUAAGUUUAAUUUACUCUCUUGAUUACCCUAAAAUAAGAUCUCGGUCAUCAAGAUUACACUUGUGGACGUAAAUUCAAUAAUGGUAAUUAAUCAGUUAAUCAUGAUCAAUCUUAUAUAUGGUUUUGAUGCAGUGGAUUUUCUGGGUGGGACCAUUCAUUGGAGCAGCACUUGCAGCUUUGUACCACCAGGUUGUGAUCAGAGCCAUUCCGUUCAAAUCAAGCUGAUGGUCUUAUGAACGGUCGUGAUUGCUGAUGCAUUUGUUUAUGGCUGUCGUUGGUGGUUCUGUUUUAUAUUUUAGAUUAUCCCAAGUCCAUGCAUUUUCGGUUCGUUAAAUUUUCUGGUUGUUUGGUUUUGUGUAUGAAUUUUCUGUAAUGCCUAUGCACAAAGAAGCCGCUGGCAGUGGCUUUAUUUAAAUUUAUGUAGUUUAUUUUUUCUUAAAAAGCAAAGUAAUUUCAUUAAACAAUAAACAGUACAAUAAUGAUACACAAUACUACAAUAGUAGAUCCACACACUCUAAAUAUAUAUAUGCGGAUAAAACUGUAUAUUACAAACAUAUAAUAUAUAUAAUUAAUAAAUGGAUCUUAUCGAAUUUUUUGAAUACUAGCCAACCAAAAAGAAUUUGCCUUAGUUGAAGAGGCGUUGUUAGAAGCAUAAUCAUUAUGUAUUAUGGAACACCAUAUAUAUGCUCGCUAUCGUAUGAAGUUUGCGUGCUGGUAUUUUUUUGCGUUUUGGUUAUAAAUGAAUGUCGUUUGGAGAAUUGUUAUAUAUGUACAUAAAAUUUCAAAUUAAAAAAAAAAAUGGUUAUGAUGCUAUGAUGUAAUAUUGAAGUUUAUGGUCAAUCCAAAAGAAAAUGACUUACAAAGGAAAUGGAAUAGAUUUAAUUUAAUUAACAUUGUCGAUUAUACGACAAUUUUAAAUGGCGGAGGAUUUACUACGUAAAUUUGGAUUCAGUAUUAAGCUGACUUUUUUAAUAAUUUUUUUUAAAGAUACAAUUAAUAGUUAUUAUAUAAGAAAACAAAACUAAUCAACUUUUAAUCGUGUAUAGCUAAACAUGCACGGAUGUUUUGCUCUGUUUUGUUGCAAUGUAAUAUUACUUCUUUGUAUGGUUAAAACCAACAUUGCAUAACUAAAGAAGGGUAAAAGCUCGUUUAGUCUCUAUAUUUUGAAGUUAGUGCCCGUUUAGUCCCUAUAUUUUUAAAAAUACCUUAAACCAUCCCUACCAUUAAAUUAUUGACACUUUUGCCAUUAUCUUUUGUUCCUUUUAACUUAUUUUUAUAAUAUUGCUCUAUUAUAAUAAUUUUUUAGACAUUAUUAAAAAGAAAAAAAUAACCCUAUUAUAAUAAUUUUUUAGACAUUAUUAAAAAGGAAAAAAUAAAUUACCAGUUUAACACCAAAAAAUAAAAUAAAAUAAAAUAAUAUAUAUUAAUUUUUGUGGAACACACUCUUGAGUUAAAAUAUUAAUUUUUCUAAAAAAAUUGAUAAUGUAAUUUUUUACGAUAUUAAUUUUUUAGACAUACGUGAGUUUCCACAAAAAUUAAUAUAUACCUUUUUUGUUUUUAUUUUAUUUUUGAGUUUAAUUUGAUAAUUUAAUUUUUUAUUAAUAUCCAAAAAAGAAACAUUAUUGUAAAAAUGUAAUAUUGUAAAAGCAAGUUAAAAAUAAUAAAAAAUAAUCGCAUAAGUGUCAAUAUUUAGUAACAGGGACGUUUUGAGGUGUUUUUAAAAAUAUAGGGACUAAAUGAACACUAACCUCAUAAUAUAAGGACUAAAUUACAAGCUUUUACCCACUAAAGAAUUAUACAUUGUUUGCUUUUACUUUUUUUUUUUAAUGAAGGAUAGACAUUUGUACAACUAUACGAGAGAAUCACUAGUUUAUUAUAUAAAAAAUAUAUAUGCAAAUAAUGAAACCAAACUUCAAGAGUUUUAUGUGAUGACAUCCCAAAAUGUUAUCCCAAAUUAUAUGGCACGUGAUGUAUCAUUUAUUAAGUGGUUGAUGAUCUUUAAUAAAUUCUAAAUGAAUUAAUUAAAUUAUCUUACCAAUAAGUGAAUAAAUCCACAUCAUUUAGGAUGAAAUUUACUAUUGACUAAUUAAAUUUUUUUACUAUUAAAAAAAUAAUCUAUAGUAUUUCAUUCUUUAAAUGGAUAAGAAUUAAAAGAAUAGAAAUUAUGAGAGUAGAAAAUUAGAUUUAUAGUAUCAAGUAUGUUAAUAACUCUUUAGUUGAGUUGGUUCAUGCCAACUCUUAUUAUCUGAAAGGUCGAGGUUUUGAGUGUUUUAUAUUUAUGAGAGUAAAAUUUAACAUAAAAAAUAGUGUCAAUAUAACCUGCUCCGUUUGGAGGCAAUUUCAUAGAUAGGCUACUUUAUAAAUUUCUCAAUUUUAUAAUUUACUUAAAUAAAAAAGUAAUGUCAUUUUAGUGCAUUUUUAAUUUUUUUUUAACUCAUAUGAUGGUGCAUUUUUUAAUUCAAUAAAAAGGUACAGUCACUUCUUUGUUGUCUAUAGUUUUCAUGUUUAUGUAAUAAAAUUAUGGGUUCAUGUUGUUUCAUAUAUUUAUGUGACGUGACUCGUAUCGUUUUCUAUAUAGGGGCAUGCAGCUUGAAUAUUAUUGAGCUUAAAUUCGCUCAAAUAUUAAGGUCCAUAAAACAUUCCCUCCAAAUAGAUUACAAAUAUAAUUAAAAAGAUGCAUUUAACCUUUCUUUGCCAGAAAGAAAUGACGAAGCUAAUUAAAGCACAAACCCAACUAUUGAUUGCAAAUAUCAUGAAGAUUAUUCAAUAUCAUCCAGACAAAUCACUACAACAAUAACACGCUAUAAGAAACAUGUUAGUUGACAUGAUUGGCAUAAUUAAUUUCCAUGAAUUCGCCAUUAACUACCGUCCUGUGUAAUAUAUAAAAAUACCUGCCAGCAUAAAAUUUCUCUAUGAUUUUGUACUUAUUAAGAGAUAAUCAUUCGCUACAGCUGCCUAAUGCAGGAAGGAUUAUGAUCCUCUCUUAAUAUGAUAUUUUCAUAAAUAAAUUUUAUUAAUGUCGUUGGUGGUUAAUAAAUAAAAAAGUAAAGAUAAUUAAAUCAUAAUUAUAUAUUAGCACCAAAAUACAAGUUGUAUAAAAUCUAUAAAAUAUUAGAAAAACUCAUAUCAUGAGAGGAUUCUAGUCCAUGUAGGAAUAACAUCAAUUAGAAAAAUUAUAAUUCAAAUUAUGUGCAUAAACGCCACCCAAAAAAAAAGAAUACUAUUUUUUACUGUAGUAAUUGAUCUAAAUUCAUUUUUAAGUCGCUUCCAACUCCUGAACUUUUUUUUCGUAAGUAAUACUCAAAAAUUAAGUUAAUUGUUGUAUCAAUUUAUUUUUAUAACCUAGUGUAUUUUCAGGAAGAGUAAAAUUAUUGAUUACGACGAUGCUAUCUUUAUAACAUAAAUAGGUUUCUAAAUUCUAAUGUAGACGUUCAUGCGUUAAAAAUAUAAAUACAAAGCAACACAUUGUUCUGUUCCUAAACAUUAUCCGAGGGAGAGCUAGUUAUGCAAGUUGUAAAAAAAAAAAAAAUGUACUUAAGUAUAUUUUAUAGUCUUCUGAGUUCAACUGUUAAAAAAUUGCCUAUAUGUCUUAGGGUUUAUUUGUGAUUGAAAUUUAAAAUCUACGGCACUAAAGUAUAUGGUAAACACUAGUUACUGUAACUUGAAAGUUAUGUUGAUAUGAAUUUUCAAUUGUAUGAUGGAAGAUCUAUUAUAUCUUUAAUAAUUUUGUUAAAAUUAUUAUUUAAAAUUUAUAUUUACUAUAUAUUAUCAAUUUUUGUUUCAUAAUUACAAUUUUUUCCAUAGCAGCUGUAACUUAAAAGUUACAGCACCUUAAUCCCAAAAAGAACUUUAUUGACGACUUCUCGACGUUAAAUCAUAACUUCGAUCAACUAGGGCUGUAAUUUUUUUUAAUAAUGUUACAGUCCCCUAAUAUUUAGAAUAAAGGGUCUACUAGAACUUUCUAAUCAAUUUUGUGACUGUGCAGUCAGAUUGGCUCUAAAUAACAUAAAUUAAUAUUAUAUAGUAAAUAUGAAAUAAAAAUUAAUAGUACAUAGUAAACACAAUUUUUAAACAAUAAUUUUGUUAAAAUUAAUAAAAAUAUAAUAGAUUUUUUAUCAUAUAAGUAUAAACUCAAAUCAACUUAACUUGCAAGUUACAAUAAUUAAUAUAUAAAAAAUAUUUUAGUACUAUAACUUUGAAAUUAUAAUUGUCUAAUUUCAAUUCCAACCGAGCUAGGGGUGGCAAAAAUACCCGCCUGGUCCAGACCCGUACCGCACCCGGGCGUUGUGGGCAUGGUAUUACCCAGCUUGAGUAUGAAGCCAGACCGAUCUUGAGCAUCACUUGAUAAAUUCGGAGCUCGGCUCGGAACCCAAAUUUUAUUAAAAAAAUAUUAUAAAAUAUAUACUAUUUUAAAUAUUUAUAUUUAUUUGACUCAUUUAUUACACAUAUAUAAAAUUUUAAACACUUAAAGUUUAUAUUUUUAUAUCAAAUUUUAUUGAAAUAAAUUUAAAACUUAUAAAAUUACCAAAAAAAAUAUACACAUAUAAUAUUAAAAAAUAUAAAAUUUAGGUACUCGCAUUAAAACUUGAUCCGAACAUCUAAAAAUUACAUCCAAACUAAGUCUGGACAUUGCGAUACCCGAACCCAACCCAGGAUUUUGCCAACCCUAAACCGAGCCUUCGACUUCUAAAUAAAUAUUUUGAAACAACGACGGAUAAAAUAAAUAAAGCCAUUCAAAUAGGAACGGACUAAUUCAUGGAGGCAUCAAUUCGUAAAGUUACAGUCGUGCCAGUGAACCAAUUCCUUAGAGCGAAAUGGACACACGGAAAGGACAAUAGGCCAGAGCAACCGACAUAAUUCACAUUAAGAAAAUGACAAUAAAGCUGAUUGAUAAUGAGAAAGACUUUGAGAGUGUAAAACGAAAUUAAAAUUAAAUAACCUACUUGCUUUGGUUUCUGUAAUUUGCCCUAAAAAGAGCAAUGAAAUUACGUAAUAAAUCCCGUGAUCAUCAUGUCCCAAUUCCCACCCACUCGGUCUGCUUGACCCUUGAUGGACGGUGGCCACAACAUCAUUACAGAUGUGGAUGAAAUUGAGCCAGCUAGGAUACCCCAACGUAAUGUCAUUUUUCUUUCUAAAUAGUCUAAGCGCAUUUAAGUAAUUUCCACAAAAUUCCAAGAAAAUGAUUGGUCGGUCACAAGAUAAGUAAGUAAAUUCAAUUUUAUACACCAAAUUGGAGCCCACCACCUGCACUCAUCACUCCCUGAUCCGGAUGAUAUAACCCCCUUCCCCCAACUUCUAGUACUCUCUCACUCAUUCUCAUCACAACAUCAAACGGCCACAAACAAAAAAGCAAGUGCUUCUUAUUGACUGUUUUGUGUUUUUGAGGGACUAGCAGAAAUGGAAGGUAAAGAAGAGGAUGUUAGACUGGGAGCCAACAAGUUCGCCGAGAGGCAGCCGAUUGGGACGGCGGCUCAGACCCAAGAUGGGAAGGACUACGUUGAGCCCCCACCGGCGCCGCUCUUUGAGCCCGGCGAGCUCAAGUCUUGGUCGUUUUACAGGGCCGGUAUAGCCGAGUUCAUAGCCACUUUUCUUUUCUUGUACAUCUCCGUACUGACAGUGAUGGGCGUCGUCAAGUCCAAUACCAAGUGCUCAACCGUCGGCAUUCAAGGGAUUGCAUGGGC
RNAcentral lists this long non-coding RNA (6494 nucleotides) under Citrus sinensis (sweet orange). RNAcentral describes it as "long non-coding RNA (CSIN_LNC003264)". The record is from RNAcentral. Lineage: Eukaryota; Viridiplantae; Streptophyta; Magnoliopsida; Sapindales; Rutaceae.